UAUGGCUGACAUCAUUGUUGAAAAAGUAUUCAGUUUUACGCUACAUCCCAGGUAGAACAAAAAAUCGUAAUAAUAUAAUUAUAUCAAAAAAAAGUUAUUUUAAGACAAAUCAAGAUGAUGUCAUUCGAUAUAGUUUUCGUGAUGGUUUGAUGAUGUUUUUUUUGAUAUUGAAAUAAUGUUAUGGUGACUUUUAGAACUGCAUUAAAAUAGAAAGUCACAAUAAUAUCAAAGUGACGUCAAAAUGACAAGAAAAUGAUCUAAUCAUGAUUAUAAAGAAAAUCUACAGUUUACAUUACACAUAAGAUUCCUGAGGAUAAUAACGUCAUUAAACCUCAAAGAUUCUUAAAUAUCGCAUAUGGGGCAUUCCAUAUGAAGUGAUACACCCAAAUUUUCAAAGUUGUACGAUUAUGCUGAAAUUUGCACAAAUUGUAGUCCUAUCACAACUAAGAUUUUUGGCCAAAUUGUUUGACUCACGACCAACGAGUUGUCUAGUAAUAGAGGCUUGAAGUUUUAACAUUUGGGCCGUUGUGUCCAACUUCAAACGCCGGUAAGUUCCAGUAGACUAUUCCGAUUUUCAAAAACAAGGAGUGAUUUCUAAAGGUCUUUUUGCGCCCUUUAAUCCUAUGAAAUCAGUUUUGUUUUUAAGUCAAAAUUUAUUUAAAAGUUUUGAAGGAUAAGAAAGAAAUUGUUUUUUCUCAAAUUCAGACAUCUUUGAUUUUCUUCGAAAAUAUCUUUAAAAAAAGUAGAAUUCUUGCCCUUUAAAAUGAUUCCAAGAUCAAAAUGGGCAGACUUUUAGUUUUCAAGAUACAGUUUGUUUUAGGACCGAGCGCGUCACGCACGGUGCAGCUCGGCCGCUGUUGCAAGUGCCACGGAUGAUCCGAUCAGUUCUAUUGCUUGUGGCCA
Molecule: long non-coding RNA, 903 nt
Organism: Harpegnathos saltator (Jerdon's jumping ant)
Lineage: Eukaryota; Metazoa; Arthropoda; Insecta; Hymenoptera; Formicidae
Exons: 2
Source: RefSeq, a predicted model, not a curated record